This 258-nucleotide long non-coding RNA is filed under the name Elaeis guineensis (African oil palm). Its description in RNAcentral is "long non-coding RNA (EGUI_LNC009572)". Lineage: Eukaryota; Viridiplantae; Streptophyta; Magnoliopsida; Arecales; Arecaceae. The record is from RNAcentral.
GAGUCACAGGAUUAAUUGAGUUGAGCACGAUUCGGAUGAUCUCAUCAGGGUUGACAGUUUAACCCUGAGUCAUCCUAAACACAGGGGUCAAAAGGGAUGAAUUAUAUGGUAACCAUAUUCACGUAGGUUCUGAAUGUUGCGAUUGUGACUAUUCGACCUAUCCGAUCGUCGGAUACCAUUGCUAGAUGGUCACUUCGAUUAGUACAGGAAUUGGUUCCUGUGCUACCGACUUAGGUUCGAACCUGCGGAGUCACACAC